CCGAAAGAUGACAUAAUUUGCGAUUGACACGUGCGACCGGAGUUACACGCCUGUUUCUCUUAACGGCGCAUGUGCUGUGAUAUUCAAUUCUUACAUAUUCUGACA
Aureobasidium subglaciale EXF-2481 is the source of this 105-nucleotide small nucleolar RNA. It matches the Rfam family "A. fumigatus snoRNA Afu_514". Lineage: Eukaryota; Fungi; Ascomycota; Dothideomycetes; Dothideales; Saccotheciaceae. The record is from Rfam.